CAACGUCGCACACACACAAGUAAAAUCAAGACUCACCAAACACUAUAUACUAAUCAAUGCAACUAUUAAGGAAGUCAUACAAUUGUCCACACAAUUAAUCAACAUUAACUAACCGAUAGCAUAACAUUUCAACAAUUUCGUCUCUACAGUCAGUGGUUAUGGUACGGUUAGUAACUAUUAUACAGUUUAGACAAUUAUGACUUUAAAGUUAUAAUAUCACUUUGAGAGAUAUACAGAAAAUGGAUGCCAUAAUUGGGCACUAUUUGCACAAUUAGUAUACUUUCAAGUUUUCUGUUAAGAUUUAAAAAAAAAAAAUAAUAAUAAUAAACCAAUCUGCAGCUCAAAAAUUCUACAGUGUUCUUGGUCCUCUCUGAUGUUAAACCUUCAAC
Molecule: non-coding RNA, 389 nt
Organism: Pelobates cultripes (western spadefoot toad)
Lineage: Eukaryota; Metazoa; Chordata; Amphibia; Anura; Pelobatidae
Source: the annotation of a GenBank genome assembly